Molecule: long non-coding RNA, 3862 nt
Filed under: Olea europaea subsp. europaea
Lineage: Eukaryota; Viridiplantae; Streptophyta; Magnoliopsida; Lamiales; Oleaceae
Source: RNAcentral
AAAAUUUUAAUAUUCGAUGAUCUCCAUAAUCUUAUUCAAUUUAAGUAAUCUUAUUCAAUCACAUUAACAUGCCUCUCAAAUUAAUGUUGGUAAAAGUAUCAAUUUACAAUCAUGAACGAACGACAAUGACAAUACUCGUGCCCAUGAAGAAGAGACCCAAAUCACAGCAGAAACAACCAAGAACCACUCCAAGAACACUUCAAAGAGCUCAUAUCCCAAGAAGAAUUUUCAAAAUAAAUUCACAAAGUGUACCGACCUCACACAAUGAGCUCUAUCAGUCGAACAUAGAAUUUGCAUUCCAACGAAAGCUCUAACGAUCAAUUCACCGAUGAAAAGUUCAGCAAUAUAUUGCUGACCAAGAUGCUGCAGUUGGAAGAAAUCCAACCGAACAACCUACACCAAAAACUCAAAGAUCAUCCCUCCACUAGGAAUCCAAAACCACUCAAGGUUGACCUCUCAUGAGAAUCUAAAUCUUUAGCUCAUCAUUUAGCAUCAAUUUGUUUACAUGAAACUGAUGUAAAAAAGAACUCAAAGGUCCAACUCCAAUGGGCAAACCCCAAAAAUAACCUCACACACAUGCUACAGUCCAUCCUUCUUCUACUAUUCAUUAAGACCUCCAACAACAGCCGAAUAUACCAAAUCAACCCAUUACCAGGCCCAAAUACUAAAUCUGAAAGUUAAAAUCUCCAGCAACAGUCUAAUAUACCAAAUUGAACCAUAAUAAGGCCCAAACACCAAAUCCAAUAGUACUAAAACCAUGAACCUACACAUAACUACAAACUCGACAUAAAUUACAUCAUCUCCAUCUCCCAAACGCUAAACCAUUGUCGCUAUGGGUUUUUCUCCACGCCAACAAUGCCUCAUCCAAUCGGCAACCUAAUCUCUUUGUCUCUGGCAUUGCCUCCAUCCAGGCUCGGCUUGGCAGUAUCUUGAGAAUUUCCCUUCUCUCUAUUUCUUUGUCCCUUCUCUCUAUUUCUUUGCAAUUUUUGAACCCUUUUCAUAUUAGGGUAAUUUUGAGAUUCAUUUAUCUAUGCUUGCUUUGAAACUAGACCAAGUGAUUGAAGGCAUCAGAAGUGCAUAGUAGAUUCAAGGGAAUGGCGCCAAGAGAGCCGUUGCUGCGGUAAAUUAGUUGAAGAGCUUAGCAGCUUCGAUAGAGAUAUCGCCUUUACCGACACCGACCGUGCCGACAUCUUCAUCUGCUUGUUAUGUUAUUUUAUCUAUAUCAGUCUAUUGAUCGCAGAGUAAUUUAGGGCUUUAGGGUUUAAAGAAAAUGCGCCAUUGGAGAACUAAAGAGUACUCUUUCUCUUCUCUCCGUCUAUUUCAAUUUUGAUAAAUGGGAGUGAAAGAGGACGAUUUUGCUUUUCUGAACGAUUUACAAUAAUGGAGGUUGAAAGUCUCAAUAUGUUGAAACGUGAACAAGAAAAAGAAACCAUUAACUCAAUUCGACGAAGACCAAGCGGAAGGAGCAAAACCUCAUCUUGCUGUGAGAAAACCGAACCAAGAAAACGAGAAAAAAUUCUAAGAAAGAGGCUCUAAUACCAUGUCAAGUAUGAUAUUCAAUAAGACUUGAUGCCUCACAAUGUGAAAUGUUCUCAUUGUAUAGAACCAAAUCAUAACUAAAUAUGGUAAAAAUAAUCUAUCUAUUUGUCAUAAUCUUCGACUAUUUCCAUAAUCUUAUUCAAUCUCCACAAUCUUCAAUCUCAUUAACACUUUGAGACUAGUUUACUUAGGAUCAUGUUACAUAUUUCCCGCACCAUUACUUCUACAACUUAAGUUCUUCUAGAAGUCUUUGUACUAGUGAAUUAUAGUUCCUAUUUGGUGCAAAUUAAAAUAAAGAUUUUAAUUUAAGUCAAAGUCAAUAACUAAUUUUAACUGCACCUUUAUGGGAUCCACAACUUUACAACCAUACAUUUCAACAAUUUUUAUCAAAAUCUACUAAAAAACUAAUUUUAAUCCCCACCAAACGUGGGCAUAAUUUAUUUAUCAAUAUGGGAUCAACUUACAAUGUCUCAUUACUAUUUCAUUUUAAUCCCCACCAAACGUGGGCAUAAUUUAUUUAUCAAUAUGGGGUCAACUUACAAUGUCUCAUUAUUAUUUCAUUGCAGUUCAUUGCUUCUUUCUAUCAACACAUCGUGGUUCAGAGAUGAGUAUCUCUUUCUCUCUCUCUCUCUAGUGUGCAUGAGCCUACAUGCAUUCCCAUCUACGGUAUAAAUAUGCAUACAAGAAUGCACAAAAGAAUAUAUAUUGAAGAUAGGGACAUAUGGUUGUUUGAAAAACUGAUAUAAUGGGGAAAGAUUGUACUAAAAUCAACAUUACUGACAAAUAUUAACUUCUGUGGACCUAGGUGAAAAGUCCACUUGAAGAAAAUGAAAUGGUUGGAAUCACUAAUUACAUUGACUUUGGCUUUGAGUUACAGACAAGGUAUUUUCAUAUGUUAAAUAUCGCAUACAUUGAUAUCAUAUAAAGUGGUGGAAUCCGACUUCAUUUUAUACUUUUCGUGAAGUAUUGACGAUGAAAAGUCAUUAAAUAAUAUUCAAGAGUCCACUUUUCAAGUGGCUGCAUCUUGGCAAGCCAAUAAAAACUUCUUACUGAAGGUAACACAAUUUUGAUAAUGUUUCUAAUCAUUUAGUUUGUGAUAGUAUUAUUUGUGAAGCAAUUAAGUUUAAGACAUCAAUGUGUCAAUUUUGCAGGGAAAUUCAUCAAUAGCUUUAGCAUUUAAAUCAUGGUGGAAACCUUCUUUCAUUUUCAGCAUGUCAGGUAUCUGAUAUGUGUGUCCCCUCGUUCUUAAGAGAUUUAGCUACAAAAUUCUAUGCCUCAAAAUUCGCUGUAUAAUAUCGAGCAUUUUAUAAUAGCUUGUUGUUUAAUCUUCAAAUAUUGCUCAUUAGUAGUAAACUUGCACAUUUGUCUAUAUCUCUGAACAAGUUAUGCUAUCACUGCUUUCGUUUUUUUCAUCGUUGAAGUAGAAUAAUUUUUAGGACAGACAGUGUUGUUCGAGACCUUGAGAGCAUGUGUUAUAUGCAUUAGUAGAAAGGAUUGGACAAUACAAUAUACUAGAUUUAGUUUAUUUUUCUUAUUUAGCCCCUAUUUGUUUUUCAUUGUUUCUAUAUUAAAAUGAAAAAUAUGACCGUUAUCCAUCACAUCAAACCAUCAAAUUUGAAUUUUGAUCUCUUGUGUGGGGCCUAUAACGGCUAUAUUUUUCAUUCUCAUUUUUACAAAAAUGGAAAACAAACGCUCCUUUAAUAUUGUUGAUUUUUUUUUUUUUUAAUUUUAUUCGAUCCACCUUAUGAAACAUGUCAUAACAAUGUAGAAUUGAGGAUGAAGAUAUUGAUUCCCGUUUUGUUGUUUCUCUAUCAUUCUUUGCCCCUCAUUCUCUGUUUAUAUAAUUUAUCUCAUUCUUCAACCAUUAAUUUCACUGGCUUACAACUGUCAGAGAUCGGACAAAACGAGGGACAUCAUUUGGAUUUGGUGUUCGUGUCGAUAACAUUAGGGAAGUAAGGUUGGAUACAUUUCCCUGUAUGCCUUCUCGAUACGAUUUUAUAAGCCCACGGAGGCUCCACCUUUGUAUUGCCAUUCUACAUCCAUGGAAAUUUGAUAUCAUCGCUUCCCUGAUUGUAGUUAUCAAAGGACAGACCCAAAUUUCGUUAUGUUGACCCCAAACAAGGAGCAUCUAGCUGAGGGCAUAUGCUGGAAAAUUAAGAAAAGACGAGUGCUCCCAUUUGAUGUAAAUUCUGGAAAUUUUGAUGGCAUGCCCAGGGAAUUGAGACCCUUGGCCAAAAUUUUGAAACCUUUUGGCAAUUUUGCUUUUGUUUGAUGGAAAAAUGAUCUACUAAGUAUCGAUGCUUAACUUAUAUUAAAAUCGGUG